RNAcentral lists this ribosomal RNA (747 nucleotides) under alpha proteobacterium SCGC AAA160-E06. RNAcentral describes it as "bacterial SSU rRNA". It matches the Rfam family "Bacterial small subunit ribosomal RNA", at positions 89 to 873 of the family's 1533-position model. Lineage: Bacteria; Pseudomonadati; Pseudomonadota; Alphaproteobacteria. The record is from RNAcentral. RNAcentral also lists the same sequence under 4 other names.
UACUUAGUGGCAGACGGGUGAGUAACAUGUGGGUAUCUACCCUUUGGCCUGGAAUAACACGAGGAAACUUGUGCUAAUACCGGAUAAGUCUUUACGGAGAAAGCUUUAUGCACCAUUGGAUGAGCCCGCACUUGAUUAGUUUGUUGGUAGGGUAAUGGCCUACCAAGACUAUGAUCAAUAGCUGAUUUGAGAGGAUGAUCAGCCACAUUGGGACUGAGACACGGCCCAAACUCCUACGGGAGGCAGCAGUGGGGAAUCUUGCACAAUGGAGGAAACUCUGAUGCAGCGAUGCCGCGUGAGUGAAGAAGGCCUUUGGGUUGUAAAGCUCUUUCGUCGGGGAAGAAAAUGACUGUACCCGAAUAAGAAGGUCCGGCUAACUUCGUGCCAGCAGCCGCGGUAAUACGAAGGGACCUAGCGUAGUUCGGAAUUACUGGGCUUAAAGAGUUCGUAGGUGGUUGAAAAAGUUGGUGGUGAAAUCCCAGAGCUUAACUCUGGAACUGCCAUCAAAACUUUUCAGCUAGAGUAUGAUAGAGGAAAGCAGAAUUUCUAGUGUAGAGGUGAAAUUCGUAGAUAUUAGAAAGAAUACCAAUUGCGAAGGCAGCUUUCUGGAUCAUUACUGACACUGAGGAACGAAAGCAUGGGUAGCGAAGAGGAUUAGAUACCCUCGUAGUCCAUGCCGUAAACGAUGUGUGUUAGACGUUGGAAAUUUAUUUUCAGUGUCGCAGGGAAACCGAUAAACACACCGCC